CAAUAGCGUAUAUUAAAGUUGUUGCGGUUAAAAAGCUCGUAGUUGGAUUUCUGCCGAGGACGACCGGUCCGCCUUCUGGGUGUGUAUCUGGCUCGGCCUGGGCAUCUUCUUGGAGAACGUUACUGCACUUGACUGUGUGGUGCGGUAUCCAGGACUUUUACUUUGAGGAAAUUAGAUUGUUUCAAGCAGGCACACCCUUGAAUACAUUAGCAUGGAAUAAUAAGAUAGGACUUCGGUUCGUAUUUUGUUUGGUUUCUUAGAGCUGAAGUAAAUGAUUAAUAGGGAUAGUUGGGGGCGAUUCGUAUUUAACUUGUCAGAGGUGAAAUUACUU
This 331-nucleotide ribosomal RNA is filed under the name uncultured eukaryote. Its description in RNAcentral is "SSU rRNA". It matches the Rfam family "Eukaryotic small subunit ribosomal RNA", at positions 592 to 922 of the family's 1831-position model. The record is from RNAcentral.